GAUGAACGCUGGCGGCGUGCCUAAUACAUGCAAGUCAAGCGAACAGACGAGGAGCUUGCUCCUCUGACGUUAGCGGCGGACGGGUGAGUAACACGUGGAUAACCUACCUAUAAGACUGGGAUAACUUCGGGAAACCGGAGCUAAUACCGGAUAAUAUAUUGAACCGCAUGGUUCAAUAGUGAAAGACGGUUUUGCUGUCACUUAUAGAUGGAUCCGCGCCGCAUUAGCUAGUUGGUAAGGUAACGGCUUACCAAGGCAACGAUGCGUAGCCGACCAGAGAGGGUGAUCGGCCACACUGGAACUGAGACACGGUCCAGACUCCUACGGGAGGCAGCAGUAGGGAAUCUUCCGCAAUGGGCGAAAGCCUGACGGAGCAACGCCGCGUGAGUGAUGAAGGUCUUCGGAUCGUAAAACUCUGUUAUUAGGGAAGAACAAAUGUGUAAGUAACUAUGCACGUCUUGACGGUACCUAAUCAGAAAGCCACGGCUAACUACGUG
This 497-nucleotide ribosomal RNA is filed under the name uncultured bacterium. RNAcentral's name for it is "partial 16S ribosomal RNA". It matches the Rfam family "Bacterial small subunit ribosomal RNA", at positions 28 to 507 of the family's 1533-position model. The record is from RNAcentral.